GAUGAACGCUGGCGGCGUGCCUAAUACAUGCAAGUCGAGCGAACAGACGAGGAGCUUGCUCCUCUGACGUUAGCGGCGGACGGGUGAGUAACACGGGGAUAACCUACCUAUAAGACUGGGAUAACUUCGGGAAACCGGAGCUAAUCCCGGAUAAUAUAUUGAACCGCAUGGUUCAAUAGUGAAAGACGGGUUUGCUGUCACUUAUAGAUGUAUCCGCGCCGCAUUAGCUAGUUGGUAAGGUAACGGCUUACCAAGGCAACGAUGCGUAGCCGACCUGAGAGGGUGAUCGGCCACACUGGAACUGAGACACGGUCCAGACUCCUACGGGAGGCAGCAGUAGGGAAUCUUCCGCAAUGGGCGAAAGCCUGACGGAGCAACGCCGCGUGAGUGAUGAAGGUCUUCGGAUCGUAAAACUCUGUUAUUAGGGAAGAACAAAUGUGUAAGUAACUAUGCACGUCUUGACGGUACCUAAUCAGAAAGCCACGGCUAACUACGUG
This 497-nucleotide ribosomal RNA is filed under the name uncultured bacterium. RNAcentral describes it as "partial 16S ribosomal RNA". It matches the Rfam family "Bacterial small subunit ribosomal RNA", at positions 28 to 507 of the family's 1533-position model. The record is from RNAcentral.